Molecule: ribosomal RNA, 253 nt
Filed under: Blautia obeum
Lineage: Bacteria; Bacillati; Bacillota; Clostridia; Lachnospirales; Lachnospiraceae
Description: partial 16S ribosomal RNA
Rfam family: Bacterial small subunit ribosomal RNA
Source: RNAcentral
UACGUAGGGGGCAAGCGUUAUCCGGAUUUACUGGGUGUAAAGGGAGCGUAGACGGACUGGCAAGUCUGAUGUGAAAGGCGGGGGCUCAACCCCUGGACUGCAUUGGAAACUGUCAGUCUUGAGUGCCGGAGAGGUAAGCGGAAUUCCUAGUGUAGCGGUGAAAUGCGUAGAUAUUAGGAGGAACACCAGUGGCGAAGGCGGCUUACUGGACGGUAACUGACGUUGAGGCUCGAAAGCGUGGGGAGCAAACAGG